RNAcentral lists this ribosomal RNA (371 nucleotides) under uncultured bacterium. RNAcentral describes it as "bacterial SSU rRNA". It matches the Rfam family "Bacterial small subunit ribosomal RNA", at positions 527 to 896 of the family's 1533-position model. The record is from RNAcentral.
GAAGGGGGCUAGCGUUGUUCGGAAUUACUGGGCGUAAAGGGCGCGUAGGCGGUUAUCCAAGUCAGGCGUGAAAGCCCCGGGCUCAACCUGGGAAUUGCGUUUGAGACUGGAUGACUUGAGUUCGGGAGAGGUGAGUGGAAUUCCCAGUGUAGAGGUGAAAUUCGUAGAUAUUGGGAAGAACACCGGUGGCGAAGGCGGCUCACUGGACCGAUACUGACGCUGAUACGCGAAAGCGUGGGGAGCAAACAGGAUUAGAUACCCUGGUAGUCCACGCUGUAAACGAUGGGCACUAGGUGUCCGGGGUAUUGACCCCCUGGGUGCCGCAGCUAACGCAUUAAGUGCCCCGCCUGGGGAGUACGGUCGCAAGAUUA